Long non-coding RNA from Perca flavescens (yellow perch), 1210 nucleotides. RefSeq lists it as uncharacterized. Lineage: Eukaryota; Metazoa; Chordata; Actinopteri; Perciformes; Percidae. The record is from RefSeq and is a predicted model, not a curated record. The transcript is spliced from 8 exons.
UCAGAUGAUGAUGGCCAUCAGUCAAGUGAUCCAAUCAGUACCUUUCAAAGUUCUGAGGACAUCUUGAAUUGGAUCGGUUGUCAAGUUGAUGAGACAAACACAUUUUCCAUCUGUGUGAACUGAUCUCUACAACAAAGGCAUGCAACAGAUGCAACGGCAGAAGAAGACCUCACCCAAAUGUAGACUUAAGGUCACAUUCUUUGCCGAGGCAGGCAUUGAUACUGGUGCUCUUACCAAAGAAUUCCUCACAGAAAUGCUGGUAGAAAUAGAAAAAAAGACUCCUUGUUGAAGGUCCAGAUAAGAAAGGGAAGAAUCCCGUUUACUGCCUUAACAGUUUGGACUGUAACUACUUCAGGACUGCAGGAGAAGUCAUGGCAGCUAGUCUGGCACAAGGCGGACCUUGCCCUAACUUCCUGCGUGAGUGGUGUUCAGAUAUCUCUGCUGGGGUGACUCUGACAGCAUUCAAGUGUCUGCCAGUGAUGUCACAGAUUUGGAACUGUCACAGCUAAUUGUAAAGAUAAACAGUGCCAGUGAUGACAACAUCAGAGACCUGAUUGGUGACAUUGUGACCUGCGAAUACACUGGAAUUGUGUAUGUGGAUAAAAGGGACAGCAUGAUAAGAGCUGUUAUACUUCACUCCACCAUGAGACUCAUCCCGAUGCUUGACCAGCUCAGAAAAGGCCUGCAGCUCUAUGAACUACCAAAGAUCAUGAAGACCCAUCAAGACCUUUUCCAACCACUGUUUGUUACAGGGGAAGAUGAUAAGGUGGAUGCAGUCUUCAUUCUGGAGAACAGCCGCCCUGUCUUCAGCGAGAUUGGUUCUGCCAAACACCGCAUGGAAACAAACAUCAUGAACUUUUUCCAGGACUACCUUCAGGAAAUUGAAGAUUCUGGAACAAGAUGGCCCAAGCAACAACAACAUUGCUCCAGAAAGUUUGACAGUUGGACAAAUCAUGCAGUGGCUCACCGGACAGGGACACAAGCCCCUUCUGCCAAGUGAAAAGAAGGACUUUGUCAUAAAUGUGAGAUUCCACCAUGACUGUGACACACAUCACACUGUUUGUUUUCCUAUUGUCAGCGCCUGCAGUCGUAUAAUCACAUUUCCCUCAGCGCACCUGAAAACAUUCAGUGAAUUCAAAAACAUCAUGACACUAGCCAUAUGCCAUGGGCAAACCUUUGACAGGGUGUAACAACUCACUCCAACGGAAAA